UACGAAGGGGGCUAGCGUUGUCCGGAAUCACUGGGCGUAAAGCGUACGUAGGCGGACCGUUAAGUCGGGGGUGAAAUCCUGGGGCUCAACCUCAGAACUGCCUUCGAUACUGGCGGUCUUGAGUGCGGGAGAGGGAGGUGGAACUCCAGGUGUAGAGGUGAAAUUCGUAGAUAUUAGGAAGAACACCAGUGGCGAAGGCGGCCCACUGGCCCGGUACUGACGCUGAGGUGCGAAAGCGUGGGGAGCAAACAGG
RNAcentral lists this ribosomal RNA (253 nucleotides) under uncultured bacterium. RNAcentral's name for it is "partial 16S ribosomal RNA". It matches the Rfam family "Bacterial small subunit ribosomal RNA", at positions 524 to 776 of the family's 1533-position model. The record is from RNAcentral.